This 290-nucleotide ribosomal RNA is filed under the name uncultured bacterium. RNAcentral describes it as "partial 16S ribosomal RNA". It matches the Rfam family "Bacterial small subunit ribosomal RNA", at positions 773 to 1060 of the family's 1533-position model. The record is from RNAcentral.
GUGGAUUAGAUACCCUGGUAGUCCACGCCGUAAACGAUGAUAACUAGCUGUCAGGGCACUUGGUGCUUUGGUGGCGCAGCUAACGCAUUAAGUUAUCCGCCUGGGGAGUACGGUCGCAAGAUUAAAACUCAAAGGAAUUGACGGGGGCCUGCACAAGCGGUGGAGCAUGUGGUUUAAUUCGAAGCAACGCGCAGAACCGUACCAGCGUUUGACAUGUCCGGACGAUUGGCAGAGAUGCCUUUCUUCCCUUCGGGGACUGGAACACAGGUGCUGCACGGCCGUCGUCAGCU